RNAcentral lists this ribosomal RNA (233 nucleotides) under uncultured Actinomycetales bacterium. Its description in RNAcentral is "partial 16S ribosomal RNA". It matches the Rfam family "Bacterial small subunit ribosomal RNA", at positions 97 to 334 of the family's 1533-position model. Lineage: Bacteria; Bacillati; Actinomycetota; Actinomycetes; Actinomycetales. The record is from RNAcentral.
GGCGAGCGGGUGAGUAACACGUGGGUGAUCUGCCCUGCACUUCGGGAUAAGCUUGGGAAACUGGGUCUAAUACCGGAUAGGAGCCAUCUUUAGUGUGGUGGUUGGAAAGUUUUUCGGUGUAGGAUGAGCUCGCGGCCUAUCAGCUUGUUGGUGGGGUAAUGGCCUACCAAGGCGGCGACGGGUAGCCGGCCUGAGAGGGUGUACGGCCACAUUGGGACUGAGAUACGGCCCAG